UCAAUUGUGAGAUAUGUGGCAACCUCCAUUGGCUCGGUCUGUUCUUUUUGGUUUGGCCAUAUCCUGAGUCACCAUGGUAUCAGGUGUUUUACUCUUGUCUUUCCCUUUUCCCUGGAAGUUCUGCACCAUGCCGAGCAGCUUCUGGAGACCACCACCAAAAUUUUGAGUCCACCUCCAAAACUGAAUACAUCCAAGGACUGCUUCCAGACAAAAGGAAAGACACUUCUCUGACAGCAGCCAGAACCUGGGAAGGGCUCUACCUAACCACAGGAGACACCAUACCUUAGACAAACCAUAAUGAUGAAUUCUAGAAAUAAAAGCAUAUGGCUUCCAACAUAUCUCA
Molecule: long non-coding RNA, 343 nt
Organism: Chiroxiphia lanceolata (lance-tailed manakin)
Lineage: Eukaryota; Metazoa; Chordata; Aves; Passeriformes; Pipridae
Exons: 2
Source: RefSeq, a predicted model, not a curated record